Ostrea edulis (European flat oyster) is the source of this 1790-nucleotide long non-coding RNA. RefSeq lists it as uncharacterized. The transcript has 6 exons. NCBI's taxonomy places the organism in Eukaryota, Metazoa, Mollusca, Bivalvia, Ostreida, Ostreidae. The record is from RefSeq and is a predicted model, not a curated record.
ACAGAGAUAUUUCAAGAACAGCAACUCCUGCAAUAUUUCUGCAUGCUACUACGUCACAACAAAUAUACAAAAGUUGUCUUUCUUGAUUAAUCAGACGAUACGGGCUCAACAGAUCUCAUAGCAGACGAUGACAGUGUAUCAAAUCAAGGACUAGAAUUCCAUCUGACAUAGAUGAACGAAUUCUCUUUUAUCUCAGACAGGGGAGUAUACACAAUACACAGAGAUUUAAACAAUUAUUCUGUUGUUUGUGAAUUUGGUGAUCAAACUAUUUUUAAAUAUCUUUUAUAAAUGAAGAUCUAUAGAAAAGCAUUUAAAUUGGUGAUUGAUAUUUGGGCAGUAUGACAACACAGAGAAAAUCAGUAUUUUUAUGGUUGUGAAUAUUUGGUGAUCUUGUAUAUAGAUUUGUAAAAAAAGUGAAAUAUUUUGUUUAUAGUAUACUAUUAAUAUAUAGAUAGAUAGGUAGAUAAAUAUAUAUCAAUUGGGGCCUCUGUUUCCCAGUAUACUUUUGGAAUGUCGGUAAGUGAGAAAGUUUCCCAGUUUACUUUUGGAAUGUCGGUAAGUGAGAAAGUUUCCCAGUUUACUUUCGGAAGGUCGGUAAGUGAGAAAGUUUCCCAGUUUACUUUCGGAAGGUCGGUUUCUUCCCAGACCUUACAUUGUAUCUCCUCCAUCAAUAAAAAACUGGGCGCCACCAGAUAACUGAAAAAUUAUGGAGUGUGGCGGAAAACAGCAAAACAAACAUGAUAAUAGUGAAACAUUAACUGCAGUAUUAAUAUCAAUAAAUAUAUUAGCUAUAUAUCUAUAGUAUGUUGUUAUAGUAUGUUUAUAUGUAAUUAUAGUAUGUUUAUAGUAUGUUUAUAGUAUGUUAUUAUAGUAUGUUAUUGGCAGUUGAACUUCAUUAUAUAAGAUAUAACGAACAGUGAUCAAUAUCAUUACUUCUAUAAGGAAUACAAAAUUAAGUGUUGGGUGAACUCGGACCCCUGGAUAUACCAGAGGUUGCUGUCAGGUGCCUGAAUAAUUCUUGUCUCAAUUCUAGGUUCUCUGUUGUUGAUUUGCAGGUGGUGACGGAGUAUCUGACCAAUUUAUUGACUGAAAUUCCACCAGUUUAAUACCGACAAAUCCUGCAUUAUCACAGACAGGGAAAAGGCCGGCAGCAGCACUCACAAAAAUGGCAAUAUACUUUUCUUAAUAUUCUUCCAGAUCUGAAGGAUUGAGGUCAAACUGGACUGCAUGAAGAACAAAGUAAAAGUGUGAGGAGGUGAUUGUAGUUGCAGCUCUUCUCAAAUCCCUGGACCCACACUAAGACCAGUCUGCUGGACUUCCAACUGAUUCAUACCUGUAGUAAUUAAUGCCCUGCCCAUUCAACCAAAUCAUUGAUGAACAGUAUGGAUGUGAAGGAUUAUGGUCAAACUGGACUGCAUGAAGAACAAAGUAAAAUUGUGAGGAGGUGAUUGAAGUUGCAGUUCUUCUCAAAUCCCAGGACUCAUACUAAGGCCAGUCUGCUGGACUUUUAACUGAUUUAUUGUAACGCCCUGCUCAUUCGAAUCACUGAUGAACAAUAUGGGCCAUGAUUGGAAUAUUUAGAUACAAGUUGUGAAUGUAUUGAUGAUGAACAGAAGAUUAUGACCCUGACUCUGAAGAUCUAUGAUGAAGAAUGGACACUUGGGCCACUAACUCUUCUGUACUACAAAACUAAAAUGAGUUGACUGGAAUACUGAACCUCAAGAUAUUCUAUGUACAUACAACGUGUAUGAUUAAAAUUCUGUUUCACUCGCGCAUGCGAGCUAAUUGUA